ACAGUGAUGUUGGGGCUAAAGGAAGUGUGAAACAAAAUCGUGGCUCAACGAAUAGAAACUUGAUACAAAGGCUGUAUAAAAGGAUAAGGUUACAAAACAAACUAAAGUCCAAAAGAUACACGUAACUUUAUGCAGUAAAUCAAGUGAGUAAACGAGGAAGGUUAU
This 165-nucleotide non-coding RNA is filed under the name human gut metagenome. The record is from RNAcentral.